RNAcentral lists this ribosomal RNA (116 nucleotides) under Bacillus velezensis. The record is from RNAcentral. Lineage: Bacteria; Bacillati; Bacillota; Bacilli; Caryophanales; Bacillaceae.
UUUGGUGGCGAUAGCGAAGAGGUCACACCCGUUCCCAUGCCGAACACGGAAGUUAAGCUCUUCAGCGCCGAUGGUAGUCGGGGGUUUCCCCCUGUGAGAGUAGGACGCCGCCACGC